This 125-nucleotide small RNA is filed under the name Marmota monax (woodchuck). Lineage: Eukaryota; Metazoa; Chordata; Mammalia; Rodentia; Sciuridae. The record is from RNAcentral.
GCCAGGCGCAGUGGUGCACACCUGUAAUCCCAGUGGCUCAGGAGGCUGAGGCAGGAGGAUCAUGAGUUCAAAGCCAGCCUCAGCAGAAUCGAGGCACUAAGAAACUCAGUGAGACCCUAUCUCUA